GAUACUCCCUCCGUCCACGAAAAACAUGCCACAAUUUCCUUUUUCGUCCGUCCACGAAAAAUAUGCCACAUCCAUUUUUAGUAGUAGGGUCCACACUAUUCCACUCACAUUUAAAGUGGGACCCUUACUCCACUACCAACUUCACUCACAUUUUAUUAAAACCCGUGCCGAAAGCAAAGUGGCAUGUUUUUCGUGGACGG
RNAcentral lists this long non-coding RNA (200 nucleotides) under Salvia miltiorrhiza (redroot sage). RNAcentral's name for it is "long non-coding RNA (SMIL_LNC010694)". The record is from RNAcentral. Lineage: Eukaryota; Viridiplantae; Streptophyta; Magnoliopsida; Lamiales; Lamiaceae.